AACGGUCCUAAGGUAGCGAAAUUCCUUGUCGGGUAAGUUCCGACCUGCACGAAUGGCGUAAUGAUGGCCAGGCUGUCUCCACCCGAGACUCAGUGAAAUUGAACUCGCUGUGAAGAUGCAGUGUACCCGCGGCAAGACGGAAAGACCCCGUGAACCUUUACUAUAGCUUGACACUGAACAUUGAGCCUUGAUGUGUAGGAUAGGUGGGAGGCUUUGAAGUGUGGACGCCAGUCUGCAUGGAGCCGACCUUGAAAUACCACCCUUUAAUGUUUGAUGUUCUAACGUGGACCCGURAUCCGGGUUGCGGACAGUGUCUGGUGGGUAGUUUGACUGGGGCGGUCUCCUCCUAAAGAGUAACGGAGGAGCACGAAGGUUGGCUAAUCCUGGUCGGACAUCAGGAGGUUAGUGCAAUGGCAUAAGCCAGCUUGACUGCGAGCGUGACGGCGCGAGCAGGUGCGAAAGCAGGUCAUAGUGAUCCGGUGGUUCUGAAUGGAAGGGCCAUCGCUCAACGGAUAAAAGGUACUCCGG
RNAcentral lists this ribosomal RNA (528 nucleotides) under Salmonella enterica subsp. enterica serovar Infantis. RNAcentral describes it as "partial 23S ribosomal RNA". Lineage: Bacteria; Pseudomonadati; Pseudomonadota; Gammaproteobacteria; Enterobacterales; Enterobacteriaceae. The record is from RNAcentral.